RNAcentral lists this ribosomal RNA (497 nucleotides) under uncultured bacterium. RNAcentral describes it as "partial 16S ribosomal RNA". It matches the Rfam family "Bacterial small subunit ribosomal RNA", at positions 28 to 507 of the family's 1533-position model. The record is from RNAcentral.
GAUGAACGCUGGCGGCGUGCCUAAUACAUGCAAGUCGAGCGAACAGACGAGGAGCUUGCUCCUCUGACGUUAGCGGCGGACGGGUGAGUAACACGUGGAUAACCUACCUAUAAGACUGGGAUAACUUCGGGAAACCGGAGCUAAUACCGAAUAAUAUAUUGCACCGGAUGGUUCAAUAGUGAAAGACGGUUUUGCUGUUACUUAAAGAUGGAUCCGCGCCGCAUUAGCGAGUUGGUAAGGGAACGGCUUACCAAGGCGACGAUGCGUAGCCGACCUAAGAGAGUGAUCGGCGACACUGGAACAGAGACACGGUCCAGACUCCGACGGGGGGACGCAGCAGAGAAUCAUCCGCAAUGGGCGAGGGGCUGACUGAGCAACGCGGGGUAAGUGAUGAAGGUCAUCGGAUCGGAAAACUCUGUUAUUAGGGGAGGUCAAAUGUUUAAGUAACUAUGCACGUAAUGACGGUACCUAGUCAGAAAGCCACGGCUAACUACGUG